GCAGAAACUCUGUGUCAUCCUCUGUGCCAACUUCAAUAUGCUUUUCCUCCCAGCCAGUGUGGCAACGCCUACAAUUUUGAUAAAAAGGAUGGAAAUACGAGCAUCAAUCAACAAAUUAUUGUUGUGGCGCUUCAAAAAAUGGCAAUAUGCAUGCGAUGGAAGAUUGUAUACCUUGCAAUGGCCAUUUGAUUUGUCCUCGAUGAUGCAACCGGAUGGGCGUUUUCUGCAUUUCACAAGGGAUGCAUCGAUGUUAUCCUCCACUUUG
Corylus avellana is the source of this 265-nucleotide long non-coding RNA. RefSeq lists it as uncharacterized. Lineage: Eukaryota; Viridiplantae; Streptophyta; Magnoliopsida; Fagales; Betulaceae. The record is from RefSeq and is a predicted model, not a curated record.